This 494-nucleotide ribosomal RNA is filed under the name uncultured bacterium. RNAcentral's name for it is "partial 16S ribosomal RNA". It matches the Rfam family "Bacterial small subunit ribosomal RNA", at positions 28 to 507 of the family's 1533-position model. The record is from RNAcentral.
GACGAACGCUGGCGGCGCGCUUAACACAUGCAAGUCGAACGGAAAGGCCUGCUUUCCCUUGUGGAUUGCGGGUACUCGAGUGGCGAACGGGUGAGUAACACGUGAGUGAUCUGCCCCCAACUUGGGUAUAAGCCUGGGAAACUGGGUCUAAUUCCCGAUAGGACUGCAGGGUGGUGCCUGUGGUGGAAAACGAUUUUCUAGUGGUUGGGGAUGAGCUCGCGGCCUAUCAGCUUGUUGGUGGGGUAAUGGCCUACCAAGGCGGCGACGGGUAGCCGGCCUGAGAGGGUGGACGGCCACAUUGGGACUGGGAUACGGCCCAGACUCCUACGGGAGGCAGCAGUGGGGAAUAUUGCACAAUGGGCGGAAGCCUGAAGCAGCGACGCCGCGUGGGGGAUGACGGCCUUCGGGUUGUAAACUCCUUUCGACCGCGAGGAAGCCACCUGGUUGGAAGGGUGGUGACGGUAGUGGUAGAAGAAGCACCGGCUAACUACGUG